Misgurnus anguillicaudatus (oriental weatherfish) is the source of this 552-nucleotide non-coding RNA. The record is from RefSeq and is a predicted model, not a curated record. Lineage: Eukaryota; Metazoa; Chordata; Actinopteri; Cypriniformes; Cobitidae.
UCAAAGCAACACAACAAUACUGUUAUAUAAAAGUUCAUAGAAAGUGUUUGAACUCUUUACCUUUGUACUCAUGAUAUAUAAGAUAAGAAGAUUCCAUCAGUUUCCAUCAGAUUAUCAGUUUAGUUUUUGCUGAUCUCAGAGCUGGACUGAUAUACAGUACAAAGAAAUGCAUUUCAACUUUAUGAGGCGGUUUACCGGACAGGGUUUACACUAAUACCAGACUUAAAUAUCAUGUGCUCUUCAUGAUCUAAUACUGACCCACUCCAGCUAAAUAAGGAUUGAUGGCGGUCCAGACUCCAACACUUCCCUUCCUGAGCCUCUGUCCGAUGGCAAACUCCAGGUGAAGCAGUGGAAUUCCCUCCAGGACCAGAAGAAUCAGGAAUGGGAUCAUAAACGCUCCUGAAUGGAUCACACAUUUGAAGUUUGUGUCUUACCUCCGCCGUGACUCUGACACAGAUACGGGAAUCUCCAGACGUUCCCCAGACCAACGCAGAAGCCCACACAGGUCAGCAUGUAUUGAGUUUUGUUGUCCCAUUUAGGUCUUUCUCCAAC